UCCCCCCAUCAGUAUUUCUGGGCAAGCAAUGUCAUUUGAAAACCAUUAGUAACCCUUUUUUUUCGAUAGUUCUGGUCACCAAAUUAUGGAUAACAACUCGCUUUUAACUUUCAUUGUGGGCUGUAUCGUGGGUUAUUUGAUAGGCAAGAACUACUCUAAUUAGUAUACUAAAUCAAAAAAUGGAUGGCGAUUGGCUGCUUACAUUUCUAGUUGGCUGUUUGGUGGGAUAUUUGAUAGCCAAGAAUACCUAGAGGAUAUUGCCUAAGAAUGGAUGCGGAGUUUGCAGUAACAUUUCUGGUUGGCUGCUUUAUAGGAUUCUUAGUGGCAAGAAACACCUAGGGAAUAUAGAUAUGGAUGCAGACUUUGUACGUAUAUUCCUUAUUGGCUGCUUGGUGGGAUUUCUUGGCCAAAAAUGUCUAGACCAAGAAAUAUCUAAGAAGCAAAAUGAACCACGCAGCGAUUAUUUGACUGAUGAUCUGCCGUUGCUGAGUAGCCCUAUUUCCAGACCAACCUAAACAAAAUUUAGAAAGAUAAAUGUAUAAAUAAACAAAUUUCACAUAAACUA
Long non-coding RNA from Drosophila kikkawai, 565 nucleotides. RefSeq lists it as uncharacterized. The record is from RefSeq and is a predicted model, not a curated record. Lineage: Eukaryota; Metazoa; Arthropoda; Insecta; Diptera; Drosophilidae.